AACGAACGCUGGCGGCAGGCCUAACACAUGCAAGUCGAACGCCCUAGCAAUAGGGAGUGGCAGACGGGUGAGUAACGCGUGGGAACGUACCCUUCGGUUCGGAAUAACCCAGGGAAACUUGGACUAAUACCGGAUACAUGCGAGAGCAGAAAGAUUUAUCGCCGAAGGAUCGGCCCGCGUCCGAUUAGCUAGUUGGUGAGGUAAUGGCUCACCAAGGCGACGAUCGGUAGCUGGCUGAGAGGAUGAUCAGCCACACUGGGACUGAGACACGGCCCAGACUCCUACGGGAGGCAGCAGUGGGGAAUAUUGGACAAUGGGCGCAAGCCUGAUCCAGCCAUGCCGCGUGAGUGAUGAAGGCCCUAGGGUUGUAAAGCCCUUUCGGUGGGGGAAGAAAAGUCUCGACCUAAUACGUCGGGACCUUGACGUAACCCACUAAAGAAGCACCGGCUAACU
RNAcentral lists this ribosomal RNA (453 nucleotides) under uncultured bacterium. RNAcentral's name for it is "bacterial SSU rRNA". It matches the Rfam family "Bacterial small subunit ribosomal RNA", at positions 29 to 502 of the family's 1533-position model. The record is from RNAcentral.